This 3589-nucleotide long non-coding RNA is filed under the name Nicotiana benthamiana. Its description in RNAcentral is "long non-coding RNA (NBEN_LNC025952)". Lineage: Eukaryota; Viridiplantae; Streptophyta; Magnoliopsida; Solanales; Solanaceae. The record is from RNAcentral.
UGAAAAGAACUAUGAAUAAAAUGGACACAAAAUGACUGAAUUUUUUUCUAUUGAAUAAAGGAUAAGAGAGUCCGAUAAUACAAAAGAACAAGAAAAAAAUGACAAAAUAAGCUACCAUGGCUAAAAAAUGAGUGGCUUUCCAGUUACUAAGCAACAUCUCAACCACUCAUUCGCACAUCAGCAUUACUACGACAUCUAACCAUUUUGAUUGCUUUAGAUUCAACACUCAAACUUUGACGAUCAUCCCGAGAAACCCAUGUCCUAUUGCUCAAAUCUGGUAAAGUCAACCCCAAAUUUACCUCCAUUUUUAAUUUUCCACCGCCAACUUGCCUAUUUGCCUUUUCGUAAUCCUGGAUCAACAUCAAUGGUGCUUAUUCCCUUAGUUGAGAAGAUGAUUUUAUUUUCGAGAGAUCUUGGAUUGUUCUUGUGACUCGCCACUGCAAACCAACAAAUCGACCACCUUUGACUAGCUUGUAUUUCAAAACAACAACUAUGUUAGAACAAACACUCUUUUUUUUUCUUUUGUCAAUUUUUUUCUUCUUUUUUUGGGAUUUUCUUUCUAUUUUUUUCCUUUUUUUUUAUUUUUGGGUUUAACCAUUCGAUCGAACCUGACAUGGAUUACCUACGUAUCAUGUGGGAACAUGAAUCAGAUCUUGCGUAGUUCGAAAAGAUUAGGAAUAAAGUAAAUAAACUAACUGUUUUUUUUAGAUUUUAGACUUUUCUCGAAAGAAAGACUUAAAAAGAAGAAAUAAAAUGUUUUUGGAUUUUGAUUUUUUUUAAUUUUUGAAAAGAAAUACUUUUAAUGAAUAAAGGAAAUAUUUUUUUUUUGGAAUUUUAUUUCGAAUUUAUUAAAGAAAUGCUUCUAAAGAAAAAGAAAAUAUUUCUGAAUCUUGAAUUUUCUUUUUAAUUUUUGAAAGAAGAAUGAAAAUAUUUUUGAAUUUUGAGAGAGAUUAAAAGAAAAUAUUUUUGUAUUUUUAUUUAAAAUUAUGGUAUAAAAUAAAGAAUUUCUAAAGUAGGAGCUAAAGGAAAAUAAUUUUUGAAUUUGUUUUUGAAAAUUGUGGGCCAGAACCGAUGAGGUUUGCCUAUGUAUCUGACAUUCAGUGAGAAUCAGAACCGUGAAGUUCACCUAGUUUUGGUAUAAUUGGAAAAAUAUGAAAUUGACUCACUUUUAAUUUUUUUUCGACAUACAUUUUCCUUUAUUUUUAAAAAAAUAUUUUGGCACAGUUUCAAGACAUUUUUAAUACCAGGGUUUGUAGAACCGGGUGAAUCCUCUAUUCUACCUCACUCUUGGUAUUUUGUUAUUUUUCUUUCCUUUGCCGGUCAACAUACAAGCUGAAGCAAAUAAAUGUACAAACCGCAGGCAAGAUGCAUCAGGACAGUCUUUCAUUUUGAGUACACUUGUUCUAGACGGACUCUACCCCUGUGUUGAGUUCCCGAAUUCAAAUGUACGUAUGCAAACAAACGUUUCAAUUAGGGAUCCAGAAUGAGGUCAUGUUGUUCUAGGUUUAAACCUGGGGUUGUGUUCUAGACUUUGGUGACCCGAGUAGACAACUGGCGCCGAAGAGGAGGGGCAAAGUACCGGGAGCACUAAAGUCUACCCGACCUUGUUGCUGACCCAGCUUCGUACUAUUUGGUAUGAUUUCUACAAAAAAAAAAGUGAGUCACUCGAACAUGUGCACCAUUUUUAAAAGAUUCAGAGGGGCAGCAUAAGAAGACAGUUAUAUACAAUUCACAUAAUAUUAAAACGGUAACAAAUAGAAUUUAGCACAAACUGUUCACAGAAUACAGUAACAAUAAAUGAAGCCAAGUAUAAAUCAUAUUAUCAAGAUCGGAUUCUGAACCCUGAACUAGAGAUUUUGGUUUCGUUCCCCUGCAGAGUCGCUAGAGCAGUCACACCUCUUUUUUACACACCCGUAAGGGAGUAUAAGAGAGUUUUUUUCAAUUUAAGUGACAAUCGAAAUAAGAUGAUUUAUUUAAAAUUUAGAGUCGUCACUUGGGAUAAUAUAGUGUCCCAAGUUACCGGUUAAAAUCUCAAACCGAGGAAGUUUGACUCUAUUCACGGUCUGCGAACACAAAAAUCCGGAUAAGGAAUUCUAUUAAUCCGGGAGAAGGUGUUAGGAAUUUUUGAGUUCCAUGAUUAGCAUAUUCAUUUUGAUCCUACUUGGCUUAAUCAAGUUAUCUAAUUACUGAUUUUAGAACCUAUGUGCGCUUACCUUUUAUCGUUUUUAAAAUUAAGAAAAUUAUCUUGAAACGAGUCACGCCUACAUGUACCAAUUUAUUUGGUGCGUCAAAAAUCAUAUUACGCGAAUGUAUCCACAAUUAAUAACACUGUAUUAUUAUUAAGAAAAUUUGAAUGAUGUUGCGCGAACGCAUACUCCAGUUUUAUUUUUAGAAAUCGUAAUCAUGUCAUGCGAGCAUGUACACAACCAUAAUGAUUAAUUAAAAUUAUACCUACCAACUUGAGAUUAUUGUGAGACCAUGAAUUUAUGAAAUAAGUGUGGGAAAAAAAAAGGCCAGCAACAUAUUCACUACUUUGAGCCUUAGCGAAAUUAAAAUUGGCCACCGAUAAAUAUGUUGAAGGCCUUUAAUCCAAAUAAAGUGUUACACCUAAUAUGUCCCAACCAAUUUUCAUUAAAUUACUAAAAAUUGUACUUUAAAUUAAAGAACUAGUACUUGAAGCUAGACCAAGAUCAUAGGCGUGAAUAGAUGGAUAUCGAUAGAGCAAAAAUGAUCUCAAAAAUGAAGAUUAAAUGAAAUCAAAGCGUGAUGAAAAUAGACAGCCAUUAAUUCAUUGUAGAAACUUGUUAUAAAUUAAUUUCACAUGCUAUUUUCCCCAUAAAACAAAUUUACCACAAAGAAAAUAACUCAUAUAUACCGUAACAAGAAAAGUAACAAAUUCAUACAAAUUUAUCGAUGAUAUUAACAUUAUGUACUACCAAAAGGGACAAUAGACCAAUUUUAAAAUAUACUCAACAGGAGAACAAAUCAAUCUUAACACACUUAGAUGCAAAUUUGAUAAUUAAAUCAACACACAAUGACCCAGAACAAUAAUGAAAAAACAAAAUAGAAAGAGAAACGAACCUUUGUAUUGACGAGUGUGAAUUUAAAUUACAACAACUUAACAGUUCGGACAACUUCCAAUUGGACACUUCGAGUGCGAAAACCUCAGACUACAACCUCGACGAUGAUUCAAACCAGCUUCAAAUCUCAUCUUACAGCUUAAUUUUGUUGUGACUUUUCCUCUUGAAAUCGGAUUAAAAACUGAAAGUCACACGAAUUUCAAAAAAAGAAAAAAAACUACCUAGUCUUGAUCCUUCUUUUUCAUCACCAUAUGAAUGAGAAAGAAAAGAAACAUGUUACUGCAUAUCUUUAUAUAUGGUCAUGGCUUAACUUAGAUAUGACUUCAAAAUGUGAAAGGAAAAGAAAUUAAAAGAGAGCGGCCGGCCAAGAAAGCAAUUUGUUUUUUUGGUUAUAAACCAGAUGUGGUGUUGUGGUAUCUUUCUCUUUUAGAGAUGGCCGUUCUUAGCUGGUGUUGGAGAUCGGAUUGAAGGGGAAAAAAUGGGAUCUUUUUUGGAGUGGGUUGCCGCUU